This 790-nucleotide ribosomal RNA is filed under the name uncultured bacterium. RNAcentral's name for it is "bacterial SSU rRNA". It matches the Rfam family "Bacterial small subunit ribosomal RNA", at positions 8 to 796 of the family's 1533-position model. The record is from RNAcentral.
AGAGUUUGAUCCUGGCUCAGAAUGAACGCUGGCGGCGUGCUUAACACAUGCAAGUCGAGCGAGAAAGUCUCUUCGGAGAUGAGUAAAGCGGCAGACGGGUGAGUAACGCGUGAGAAUCUACCCUUUGGUGAGGAAUACCACCGAGAAAUCGGUGUUAAUACUGCAUAAGUCUCCUCGGAGAGAAAGAUGGCCUCUUUGCUGUCGCCAAAGGUUGAGCUUACGUACUAUUAGCUAGUUGGUGGGGUAAAGGCCUACCAAGGCGAUGAUGGUUAACCGGCCUGAGAGGGUGUACGGUCACACUGGAACUGAGACACGGUCCAGACUCCUACGGGAGGCAGCAGUGGGGAAUAUUGCGCAAUGGGCGAAAGCCUGACGCAGCGACGCCGCGUGGAGGAUGAAGGUCUUCGGAUUGUAAACUUCUGUUAAGUGGGAAGAAAUAAUCAUCCUUAAUAGGGAUGGGAGAUGACGGUACCAUUAGAGAAAGCACCGGCUAAACUCGUGCCAGCAGCCGCGGUAAUACGAGUGGUGCGAGCGUUAUUCGGAAUCAUUGGGCGUAAAGGGUGCGUAGACGGUAUAUUAAGUCGACUGUAUAAUUCUCCAGCCUAACUGGAGGCUCGCGGUUGAUACUGAUGUGCUUGAGGGCGUAAGAGAGAAGCGGAAUUCUCGGAGUAGCGGUAAAAUGCGUAGAUCUCGAGAGGAACACCAAUGGCGAAGGCAGCUUCUUAGUACGUUUCUGACGUUGAGGCACGAAAGCGUGGGGAGCAAACAGGAUUAGAUACCCUAGUAGUCC